This 362-nucleotide ribosomal RNA is filed under the name uncultured bacterium. RNAcentral's name for it is "partial 16S ribosomal RNA". It matches the Rfam family "Bacterial small subunit ribosomal RNA", at positions 338 to 697 of the family's 1533-position model. The record is from RNAcentral.
CCUACGGGAGGCAGCAGUGAGGAAUAUUGGUCAAUGGACGCAAGUCUGAACCAGCCACGCCGCGUGAAGGAUGAAGGUUCUAUGAGUUGUAAACUGCUUUUGUACGGGAGUAAAAUGCUCAACGUGUAGCGGGUUGUAUGUAACGUAAGAAUAAGGAUCGGCUAACUCCGUGCCCGCAGCCGCGGUAAUACGGAGGAUCCGAGCGUUAUCCGGAUUUAUUGGGUUUAAAGGGUGCGUAGGCGGUUUGUUAAGUUAGGGGUGAAAGGUCGGGGCUCAACCCCUAAACUGCAUUUGAUACUGGUAGACUUGAGAAUAGUAGAGGAGGGCGGAAUGCAUGGUGUAGCGGUGAAAUGCUUAGAUAU